This 1388-nucleotide long non-coding RNA is filed under the name Citrus x clementina. RNAcentral describes it as "Citrus clementina (C. clementina) long non-coding RNA (CCLE_LNC002062)". The record is from RNAcentral. Lineage: Eukaryota; Viridiplantae; Streptophyta; Magnoliopsida; Sapindales; Rutaceae.
ACAAAAAAACUACUCUAUAUAUAUAGGCACACACUUGUUAUUCAUACGUUUAUGGCAAUUCCAAAUGAUGCGUGAAUGGGACAGUUGUAUAAUGGUUGUUUGUAACUCAAUCUUCUCUUGGGCGUAGCCAAUAAGCGUUGCAGGCACUGAAAAAUAAAUAAUUGCUCAUGUCAUCGGUAGCCAUCAACAGGAAGAAGCAUAACUAAAAUAAGCACAUCUUGAGACUAUAAUAGGGUCAAUAAAGGUGAUAAUUAGCCCUUACUUAGUGCUUAAUUAAAUCAUGUUGUGGUCCUUAAAUCAUUACUAUACAAAUAAUUAUCACUUAUCUUGACUCUGUCCCAUUGCCCAUUAAUGGAGUUUGCGAACUGCCCCAUCAAAACUAUAAACAUGGUAUUUUCUGGGCGAUUAACUCUUAAUCGCAAUAUGGUCUUGUUCUUUUGUCUACAAUUGCUGAUGUGUCUCUUGUUGAUUUGUCAAACACAUUCCAGCUUUCCUUGUCUUGUCUGGUCAUUGAAGUGGAGUACUGGAUCGUACACAACCGGAGGACGGGCGGCGGCCGAACUUAGCUAUUACAGUGGCUAAGCUCUAAGCAUUAUAGAAUUUAAUCAGGGGCAUGACGUUUUUACCUCAAACUUGUUUAAAUCACAAUUAUUUUUCGAGAGAGUACACACUUUCAUCCUUCAUAGAGAAUUUGUUUUUAUAACUUAGGUUUUCUAUAAAUUUUAAUAUUUCAUUUCAUCCUUAAUGCUUACACCGCAUUUGGUACUGACGUAUUGUACCUUUUAAGACGUACUUGAUAUGAUAAAAAAACUGUAACUAUAAAAUAAAAGUUAUUAGUCUAUUAUAAAUAUAAAUUUUAAAUGAAAAAUGCUUGGUAAAGAGAAGCACGAGAGAAAAACGAGAGAAAUAAAGAAGAAAAUGGUAGAGAGAGAGUGAGUGGGUAGAGAGAGAGAGAGGACAAAAUUCUCUCGUCUUUCUCUCGUGCGUCUCUACACCUAGCACUGCUCAUUUUAAAUAAGGUUUUUCAUUAUAAAAGUGUGAAAUUAAAUCAACUUAACUUUCAAUCCACAACAACAACGAUUUAUCAAACACUUUAAUAAAGGUACAACUUUCCCACCUUAAUACUAAUCAUGGUCUUAGUGACAUAAAAAUCAAUCUUGUUUAUUGAGUACACAUAUUAGAUAAUCGAUUUGUACAAUGAUUAAAGAUCAAAUUUACCUUUCAAUAAUUAUUAUCACAUUGUUAAUAUUUAACUCAUAAAUAAAGUUAACUUUUUUUGGAUAUUUAUUAGCUAGGGACUUGACUAGUCUAAAUAAUUUAUAUGAGGGAUCUCAAAAAAGCAAACUAUGCACAAUCUUAGUUUUGUUUAGAUAAUUAAAUUAAUAGGG